GGGGCCGUAGCUCAAUCGGUUAGAGCAGCGGACUCAUAAUCCGUUGGUUGCCAGUUCGAGUCUGGCCGGCCCUA
This 74-nucleotide transfer RNA is filed under the name Planctomycetaceae bacterium. RNAcentral describes it as "tRNA-Ile". It matches the Rfam family "tRNA". Rfam says of the family: Transfer RNA (tRNA) molecules are approximately 80 nucleotides in length. Lineage: Bacteria; Pseudomonadati; Planctomycetota; Planctomycetia; Planctomycetales; Planctomycetaceae. The record is from RNAcentral. RNAcentral also lists the same sequence under 3 other names.